Molecule: ribosomal RNA, 562 nt
Filed under: uncultured soil bacterium
Lineage: Bacteria
Description: bacterial SSU rRNA
Rfam family: Bacterial small subunit ribosomal RNA
Source: RNAcentral
CCGCACAAGCGGUGGAGCAUGUGGUUCAAUUCGACGCAACGCGAAGAACCUUACCCAGGCUUGAACUGCAGGUGACAUCCUACGAAAGUAGGCUUCCGCAAGGACACCUGUAGAGGUGCUGCAUGGCUGUCGUCAGCUCGUGUCGUGAGAUGUUGGGUUAAGUCCCGCAACGAGCGCAACCCUUGUCUUCUGUUGCCAUCGGGUUAUGCCGGGCACUCUGAAGAGACUGCCGGUGACAAACCGGAGGAAGGUGGGGAUGACGUCAAGUCAGCAUGGCCUUUAUGUCUGGGGCAACACACGUGCUACAAUGGCCGGUACAAACCGUCGCGAUCUCGCGAGAGGGAGCUAAUCGGAGAAAGCCGGUCUCAGUUCGGAUUGUAGGCUGCAACUCGCCUGCAUGAAGUUGGAAUCGCUAGUAAUCGCGGAUCAGCACGCCGCGGUGAAUACGUUCCCGGGCCUUGUACACACCGCCCGUCACAUCACGAAAGCCGGCUGUACUAGAAGUCGCUGUGCUAACCCGCAAGGGGGGCAAGCGCCUAAGGUAUGGUCGGUGAUUGGGGUG